UGGUCUCAGGAUCACAGCCACACGUCAGUGAGGAGAAGUGCUCCAUUCUGGGACAUUUAAUAGACCUAAUAUUAGUCUUCUGCUUCAGGACAGCAGUGUCUCUAAGGCUUUCCAUCAUUUACCAGCAAUCCUGGCUAAACAGGAAGGUCCCAGUAGACUGGAAGUUAUCCUUGGUGACACCGCUCUUCAAGAAGGAUCAGAAUGACAAUCUGGGGGACUACAGGUUUUUCAACCUGACUGCAGUGCUGGGAAAAUCAUGGAGCAGAUAACCUUGAGUGCCACCAUGCAACCAUGUAAAGGAGAACCAGGAAGUCAGGCACAGCCAGCAUGCAUUUGUGAAAGUCAGAUCCUGCUUGACCAACUUCAUCUCAUUCUGUGACAGGUUGAUCCACUCAGUAGACGAAGGAAAGACUGUGGACGUCCUCUGCCUGGACUGUAGAAGAGCUUUUGUCACCAUUUCUCACAGUGCUCUUAUGAGUGUGUCCAGAGAAGGGCAAUGGAGUUGGGGAAGGGUUUGGAGCACAAUUCUGAUGAGGAGCAACUGAGGGAGCUGGGGCGUGUUUAGUUUGAGAGAGACCUUAUCACUCUCUACAGCUUUCUGAAAGAAGGUUGCAAUGAGGUGGGGAUUAGCCUCUUCUCCCAGGUAACGAGUGACUGGACAAGAGGCAAUGGCCUCAAGUUGCACCAGGGCAAGUUUAGAUUGGAUAGUGGGAAAAGUUUCUUCACCAAAAGGAUGUUCAUACAUUGGAGACAGGCUGCCUAGGGAAGUGGUGCAAUCAGCAUGCCUGAAGGUAUUUAAAAUAUGUGUAAAUGUGGCACUGAGGCACAUGGUUUAGUGGUGGAUUUGGCAGUGCUGGGCUAAUGUUUAGACUUGAUAAUCUUAACAGUCUUUUCCAACAUAAACCCUUUUAUGAUUCUAUGAAAACAGCCAUAAUAAUUAGUUUCAGAGGGAAUUGCAAAUAGCAAAUAGCAGUGACCUUUCUGCAUUCAGAGUGCUGUCUUCGUGCACACAUCUAAGAGGACAAACAGAGCAAAUUCAAGUGCCUAAGUUGAAACAAAAUCCCAGCAGGAUUUGGCACAACCCUGCACAGCUGCCAGCUGGAGAUGCCUCACUGCUGGGAGUAGGGAGGCAGACGUAGGGAGGGGUCCUGUGAUGGGACUACAGGAAGGGUCUGAAGGACACAGCAACCACAGGAACACAUGGUAGCUUCAGGAGCUCACCCCGAGCCACAGUCAUCUCAACAUUUAUAAUAUCAAACACCUGCAACACUUGCUGGGAAAAAGGAUUUUUUAAAAUCCUCAUUUAAUUGCAGGGAAGAAACUAUAGUAAUGCAGAUGGCCGGUAAAAAUCUUAGAAACACAGAAAAUUUGUAUAAACUAUCAUAAUGAGUUAAAAAAUGUACAAAAGUAUCUAGAUGUUGAGUGAACACUGCACUUUGUCACAAUUUAUUAUACUUGUUUAAAAAUUCAAAACCAAAAUGAAAUUACAUGAAUCAAAUAGGAGAAACCUUCAUCUCUUAAGCGGGACACAUAUCAUAGCAAAAGUGCUUGUUUAAGUGGGGGAGACUGGAAACUGCCUGAAAAUUAAAACAAUGUAAUUUUACAGGAAGAUCGAUGUAAACUACUGCACAGAUUUUCUCAUACCUAAUAAGUGCUGAGAGGAACUCAAACAGGCAAAUAUCUACCUGCAUCUCUGUAGCCAGUUAACAUAUUUUAGUACUGUAAAUGGGGGCUUCCUUUUCCACUGGCAGCCAUGUCAUGGCAGAUUUCACAACUGAAUUUUCACAAGCUGGUAGACUACACAAUGCCUUGGCAUGCAUACAGGAUCUCCCAGGGAAAGCAUGAAGCUAUCCCAACAUCCUGCUGUGAUUGCAGGGACGGACCCUUCUCACCUCUACACACCUGUUACAGUUAGGGAAGAGUGAGAAAGAAAAACUGAUAAAGAAUUCUUUUCCUUUAACAAAAUCAUCUGGUUUUUUUCACAUUUAGGUGAUCUUUUUAAAAUAUACACACACCCACAAGCCAGCUGCUAGGAGACGAGCUAAGAGACAAGAAGGAAUGUGCUUCACACAGGCUCAGAGCAGCUGUGGUUCUGCUGGUCAUGAAAGGAGAAAUCCACCACUGGGCCAUUUUUACUGAAAUGCAAGCCUGCAGAUUUCCCAUUUAAAACAGACAGCAACCAAAAUGUGGCCCUUAAGGUUUCAGAUGUCCACACAAGGUAAAUGAAAACUAAAUAAUCCUUCAAUUUUGAUGGUCAGAAUUUACACCUCAAUACUCACCAACAUGCUUUAAUUAAAAUAACUCUUCUUGAGUCACAUAGAAAGAGCAAUUCUGGUGAAUGUGUGAAUAUACCAAGUACAGAGGGCCUGCGCUGCCAUUUACAUGCACUGGCAGGCACUGAAAACAAGUCAGUUGCAGCAUCUCUUUUUGUCCCUUCAUUCCCUGUAGAAUGUCAUGGAGCAUCUAAACUGGAAAGAGGUCACUUCCUCUAGCAGUGGUCCUGUCCUCAGAGCACAUUAAUAGCAUGGCCUGACCCAAAAAUGUUUUGGAUACUGGAAUAAUCAAGGGUAUUAACCACUACUUAAAUGUAAAAAAAAAAUAUGAAGAAGGAAGAGAGAUUGUCAGUCUAACCAACAACAGGAAUAUUCAUGGUGACAUCACCCCAUCUCUCAUCCUGAGAGAGUCUGUGUAAGCUUUAACACACCAUCUGAGGAUACUUCUUACAGAACAGCUGCAUCUCAUGGAGACCUGUUCAACAAUCAUGCAAGCAAAAUGAAAGUAGAGUUUGAUUUUAGGAAUAAAUGGCCAGCAUUACAAAGAAACCUUGAGCCAACACCCACAUUGAAUUAAGAUGGCAUCUUCUCUCCUGCACCAGCUGCAAACACAGUGACCAGGGCUGAGAGCUGGCACGCAGAGGCUCAAAGAAUUGCAGAGCACUUUCAACCACCUAAACACCCUGCAGUGAUAAGUAUCAGGAACAUGUUUAUCUACAGCUUAUGGGAAAAAAACAGAAGAUUUUGACAUACUUCUUGAGGCAACCUGGCAGGGAGGUUGAGCAAGAAGAGAAAGGAUGGGGACCUACGUGUGACAGACCUGGGGAACACAGGCCAAGAUUCCAAGAACUUCUACCACUGUCAAUCUCUAGUGCAGCUUAGUGUUUGAUCUUUUUUGAAAGUCCAAACCCACAGGUCAUGGCUGGCUCCUUGUCUGUGUAUGACUUAUGUCAUGCAUGUUAGAGGCAGUCUCUCAGCUGGCAAAAUAAAGUUUACUUACCAGUA
Taeniopygia guttata (zebra finch) is the source of this 3278-nucleotide long non-coding RNA. RefSeq lists it as uncharacterized. Lineage: Eukaryota; Metazoa; Chordata; Aves; Passeriformes; Estrildidae. The record is from RefSeq and is a predicted model, not a curated record.